Equus asinus (donkey) is the source of this 300-nucleotide unclassified non-coding RNA. It matches the Rfam family "Metazoan signal recognition particle RNA". Rfam says of the family: The signal recognition particle (SRP) is a universally conserved ribonucleoprotein. It is involved in the co-translational targeting of proteins to membranes. The record is from Ensembl. NCBI's taxonomy places the organism in Eukaryota, Metazoa, Chordata, Mammalia, Perissodactyla, Equidae.
GCCGGGCGCGGUGGCGCGCGCCUGUAGUCCCAGCUACUCGGGAGGCUGAGGCUGGAGGAUCGCUUGAGCCCAGGAGUUCUGGGCUGCCGUGCGCUAUGCCGAUCGGGUGUCCGCACUAAGUUCGGCAUCAAUAUGGUGACCUCCCGGGAGCGGGGGACCACCAGGUUGCCUAAGGAGGGGUGAACCGGCCCAGGUCGGAAACGGAGCAGGUCAAAACUCCCGUGCUGAUCAGUAGUGGGAUCGCGCCUGUGAAUAGCCACUGCACUCCAGCCUGGGCAACAUAGCGAGACCCCGUCUCUU